CCUACGGGGGGCAGCAGUGAGGAAUAUUGGUCAAUGGACGAGAGUCUGAACCAGCCAAGUAGCGUGAAGGAUGACUGCCCUAUGGGUUGUAAACUUCUUUUAUAUGGGAAUAAAAUGUUCCACGUGUGGGAUUUUGUAUGUACCAUAUGAAUAAGGAUCGGCUAACUCCGUGCCAGCAGCCGCGGUAAUACGGAGGAUCCGAGCGUUAUCCGGAUUUAUUGGGUUUAAAGGGAGCGUAGGUGGAUUGUUAAGUCAGUUGUGAAAGUUUGCGGCUCAACCGUAAAAUUGCAGUUGAAACUGGCAGUCUUGAGUACAGUAGAGGUGGGCAGAAUUCGUGGUGUAGCGGUGAAAUGCUUAGAUAUCACGAAGAACUCCGAUUGCGAAGGCAGUUCACUGGACUGCAACUGACACUGAGGCUCGAAAGUGUGGGUAUCAAACAGGAUUAGAUACCCGGGUAGUC
This 460-nucleotide ribosomal RNA is filed under the name uncultured bacterium. RNAcentral describes it as "partial 16S ribosomal RNA". It matches the Rfam family "Bacterial small subunit ribosomal RNA", at positions 338 to 795 of the family's 1533-position model. The record is from RNAcentral.